UAUGGCCAUAUCACAUUGAAAAGCUAGUUCUCGUUCGAUCACCAAUGUUAAGCAAUAUUGAGCUUAGUUAGUGCCUAGAUGGGUGACCCCUUGGGAAUACCAGAUGCUGUAAG
This is a non-coding RNA of Acanthosepion pharaonis, 113 nucleotides long. The record is from the annotation of a GenBank genome assembly. NCBI's taxonomy places the organism in Eukaryota, Metazoa, Mollusca, Cephalopoda, Sepiida, Sepiidae.